This 870-nucleotide ribosomal RNA is filed under the name uncultured bacterium. Its description in RNAcentral is "bacterial SSU rRNA". It matches the Rfam family "Bacterial small subunit ribosomal RNA", at positions 1 to 916 of the family's 1533-position model. The record is from RNAcentral.
UAGAGUUUGAUCCUGGCUCAGGAUUAACGCUGGCGGCAUGCCUAAUGCAUGCAAGUAGAACGGGUUUAGCCGCAAGGCUAAGCUAGUUGCGAACGGCUGAGUAAUGGAUAGGAAUCUCCCCGAUGGCGUGGAAUACCUCAUCGAAAGAUGAGCUAAUACCGCAUAACCUCGAAAGAGAAAAGCGCUUUACUGCGCACCGACGGAUGAGCCUAUCUCCCAUCAGGCUGUUGGUAGGGUAAUGGCCUACCAAACCUAUGACGGGUACCCGCCCUGAGAGGGGAAACGGGCAGAAUGGGACUGAGACACGGCCCAUACACCUACGGGUGGCAGCAACAGGGAAUCGUGCGCAAUGGACGAAAGUCUGACGCCGCAAUGCCGCGUGGAGGAUGAAGGCCCUUGGGUCGUAAACUCCUUUUGCCAAACAGGAGAUGGUUUGGAGAAUAAGUGACUGCUAACUCUGUGCCAGCAGCCGCGGUAAUACAGAGGUCACAAGCGUUAUCCGGAUUUAUUGGGCGUAAAGCGUUUCGUAGGUGGGUUUAUAAGUUAUUUUUCAAAUACCAAGGCUCAACCUUGGACAGGGAGAUAAUACUGUAAGCCUUGAUUUUUGGUGGGGUAUCUGGAACUGAUGGUGUAGUAGUGAAAUACGUUGAUAUCAUCAGGAACUCCAAGGGCGAAGGCAGGAUACUAACCAAUUAAUGACACUGAGGAACGACAGCUAGGGUAGCGAAAGGGAUUAGAGACCCCUGUAGUCCUAGCCGUAAACUAUGCUCGCUAGGGAUUGGGCCGCAAGGUUUAGUCCCGUAAGCUAACGCGUUAAGCGAGCCGCCUGGGGAGUACGACCGCAAGGUUAAAACUCAAAGGAAUUGACGG